UACGUAGGGUGCAAGCGUUGUCCGGAAUUAUUGGGCGUAAAGAGCUCGUAGGCGGUUUGUCGCGUCUGCUGUGAAAACUCGGGGCUUAACCCCGGGCCUGCAGUGGGUACGGGCAGACUAGAGUGCGGUAGGGGAGACUGGAAUUCCUGGUGUAGCGGUGAAAUGCGCAGAUAUCAGGAGGAGCACCGGUGGCGAAGGCGGGUCUCUGGGCCGUAACUGACGCUGAGGAGCGAAAGCGUGGGGAGCGAACAGG
This 253-nucleotide ribosomal RNA is filed under the name uncultured bacterium. RNAcentral's name for it is "partial 16S ribosomal RNA". It matches the Rfam family "Bacterial small subunit ribosomal RNA", at positions 524 to 776 of the family's 1533-position model. The record is from RNAcentral.